UACGGAGGGUGCAAGCGUUAUCCGGAUUCACUGGGUUUAAAGGGUGCGUAGGUGGGUUGGUAAGUCAGUGGUGAAAUCUUGCAGCUUAACUGUAAAAUUGCCAUUGAUACUGACGAUCUUGAGUACACUUGAAGUGGGCGGAAUAUGUCAUGUAGAGGUGAAAUUCUUAGAGAUGACAUAGAACACCGAUUGCGAAGGCAGCUCACUAAAUUGUAACUGACGCUGAGGCACGAAAGCGUGGGGAUCAAACAGG
This 253-nucleotide ribosomal RNA is filed under the name uncultured bacterium. RNAcentral's name for it is "partial 16S ribosomal RNA". It matches the Rfam family "Bacterial small subunit ribosomal RNA", at positions 524 to 776 of the family's 1533-position model. The record is from RNAcentral.